This 240-nucleotide unclassified non-coding RNA is filed under the name soil metagenome. Its description in RNAcentral is "partial contains 5.8S ribosomal RNA, internal transcribed spacer 2, and large subunit ribosomal RNA". The record is from RNAcentral.
AACCUAGCACACCUGCGGUGUGUACCUGCGGAGGGAUCAUUACCGAGUUUGCUUUUCUAGCUCGAAACCCACUGUGAACAUACCUCUUUACUCGUUGCUUCGGCGGCAGUCCCCCUCUCCCGUCCGGGAGUCGGGUUCGACCGUCGGAGGGACGCAACCACAAACUCUUUUAAAUUACCUCUCGAGUAUUAUCUGAGUCGAUAUUUUUUAAAUUAUCAAAACUUUCAACAAUGGAUCUCA